This 321-nucleotide long non-coding RNA is filed under the name Musa acuminata (dwarf banana). RNAcentral's name for it is "long non-coding RNA (MACU_LNC001605)". Lineage: Eukaryota; Viridiplantae; Streptophyta; Magnoliopsida; Zingiberales; Musaceae. The record is from RNAcentral.
GGACAGAGUUCUCAGCCUGCACUGCAAAAAACCGCUGCGUGGUGAGGGUGAAGGUUGUCAAGAUCUGGCUGUUCUCCUUCCUCAGCUGGCCGAUCUGCGCGGUGAGACCAUCCAAAUGCUUCUGCUUGCGCAUCCUGGACCGCCUUGCAGAUUCACGGUUCGAUAUCUUUCUCUUCUGUAUCUUAAGGUUCAUCACUGCCUGCAGAUCCUCUUCGGAAGCUGACUUUUGCAGCAGGCUGGACCCAGAUGGUGUUCCAACAGGAGAAGCCAUAGAAGCUUUGUCUUUUUGCAGUGAAAAUGGUAUUCUUUUUCUUACUAGCC